Molecule: ribosomal RNA, 420 nt
Filed under: uncultured bacterium
Lineage: Bacteria
Description: bacterial SSU rRNA
Rfam family: Bacterial small subunit ribosomal RNA
Source: RNAcentral
UAAGGAAUAUUGCUCAAUGGGAGAAAUCCUGAAGCAGCAACGCCGCGUGGAGGAUGAAGGGUCUAUGACUUGUAAACUCCUGUAAAGAAGGAAAAAAUUCCCAUUUGAUGGGAGAUGAUGGUACUUCUGGAGUAAGCCCCGGCUAACUACGUGCCAGCAGCCGCGGUAAUACGUAGGGGGCAAGCGUUGUCCGGAUUUACUGGGUGUAAAGGGUGCUCAGGCGGAUUUGUAAGUCAGAGGUGAAAUCUUACAGCUUAACUGUGAAACUGCCUUUGAUACUGCAAGCCUAGAGUAUGGAAGAGAGUGAUGGAAUAUCUGGUGUAGCAGUGAAAUGCGUAGAUAUCAGAUAGAACACCAAUGGCGAAGGCAGUCACUUGGUCCAUUACUGACGCUAAAGCACAAAAGCGUGGGUAGCAAACA